RNAcentral lists this transfer RNA (73 nucleotides) under Actinophrys sol. RNAcentral's name for it is "tRNA-Met". It matches the Rfam family "tRNA". Rfam says of the family: Transfer RNA (tRNA) molecules are approximately 80 nucleotides in length. Their secondary structure includes four short double-helical elements and three loops (D, anti-codon, and T loops). The record is from RNAcentral. Lineage: Eukaryota; Actinophryidae.
GGUAUGGUAUAUUAAUUGGUAGAUUACUAGGCUCAUGACCUAGAGGUUGUUGGUUCAAGUCCUUCCCAUGCCU